GCCACCGUAGCUCAACGGCAGAGCACCGCUUUCGUAAAGCGGGGGUUAUGAGUUCGAGUCUCAUCGGUGGCU
RNAcentral lists this transfer RNA (72 nucleotides) under Isosphaera pallida ATCC 43644. Its description in RNAcentral is "tRNA-Thr (CGT) (tRNA-Thr-CGT-1-1)". It matches the Rfam family "tRNA". From Rfam's summary of the family: Transfer RNA (tRNA) molecules are approximately 80 nucleotides in length. Their secondary structure includes four short double-helical elements and three loops (D, anti-codon, and T loops). Further hydrogen bonds mediate the characteristic L-shaped molecular structure. tRNAs have two regions of fundamental functional importance: the anti-codon, which is responsible for specific mRNA codon recognition, and the 3' end, to which the tRNAs corresponding amino acid is attached (by aminoacyl-tRNA synthetases). tRNAs cope with the degeneracy of the genetic code in two manners: having more than one tRNA (with a specific anti-codon) for a particular amino acid; and 'wobble' base-pairing, i.e. permitting non-standard base-pairing at the 3rd anti-codon position. The record is from Rfam by way of RNAcentral. Lineage: Bacteria; Pseudomonadati; Planctomycetota; Planctomycetia; Isosphaerales; Isosphaeraceae.